RNAcentral lists this ribosomal RNA (490 nucleotides) under uncultured bacterium. Its description in RNAcentral is "partial 16S ribosomal RNA". It matches the Rfam family "Bacterial small subunit ribosomal RNA", at positions 30 to 507 of the family's 1533-position model. The record is from RNAcentral.
AUUGAACGCUGGCGGCAGGCCUAACACAUGCAAGUCGAACGGUAACAGGAAACAGCUUGCUGUUUCGCUGACGAGUGGCGGACGGGUGAGUCAUGUCUGGGAAACUGCCUGAUGGAGGGGGAUAACUACUGGAAACGGUAGCUAAUACCGCAUAACGUCGCAAGACCAAAGAGGGGGACCUUCGGGCCUCUUGCCAUCAGAUGUGCCCAGAUGGGAUUAGCUAGUAGGUGGGGUAACGGCUCACCUAGGCGACGAUCCCUAUCUGGUCUGAGAGGAUGACCAGCCACACUGGAACUGAGACGCGGUCCAGACUCCUACGGGAGGCAGCAGUGGGGAAUAUUGCACAAUGGGCGCAAGCCUGAUGCAGCCAUGCCGCGUGUAUGAAGAAGGCCUUCGGGUUGUAAAGUACUUUCAGCGGGGAGGAAGGGAGUAAAGUUAAUACCUUGGCUCAUUGACGUUACCCGCAGAAGAAGCACCGGCUAACUCCGUG